RNAcentral lists this ribosomal RNA (255 nucleotides) under uncultured archaeon. RNAcentral describes it as "partial 16S ribosomal RNA". It matches the Rfam family "Archaeal small subunit ribosomal RNA", at positions 748 to 1009 of the family's 1478-position model. The record is from RNAcentral.
AGGGUGUAAACGCUGCAGACUUGGUGUUGGAAGUCCUUUGGGGCAUCCAGUGCCGGAGAGAAGUUGUUAAGUCUGCUACUUGGGGAGUACGUCCGCAAGGAUGAACUUAAGGAUUGGCGGGGAGCACCGCAACGGGAGGAGCGUGCGGUUAAUUGGAUUCAACACCGGGAAGCUCACCGGAUAAGACAGCGGAAUGAUUGCCGGGCUGAAGACCCUGCAUGACCAGCUGAGAGGUGGUGCAUGGCGUAGUCGUGU